UUCGUACAAUGACUUUAUACACUAAAAUCGUUCCACUCUGCAACAGUUUUUGACUCGGUCCCCGCCUUUAAUCAAGACUCUAUGGUUAUCUAAAUAAACUGAUUUUAUGGCUUCCCCUAUGUAUCAAAUCCUCUCUUCCUUCUUUUUCUGAUUCUCACGCUGUUUUCAGUUUAAAUUUUUGCUCCCCCUUCUCUCAACCAUCUCUCCUUAUCUCUAAGCCUAAUUAGCUGCCAGGCACACCAGCUCCACCAUCUCACACCAUACCAGGAGCACACACCUCGAACAAGUCAAGACCAUCAUACCAUCGCUAUUAGACCCACUUGAAACUCAACCCCCCUCUUUCUCUGGCGUUCUCUCUCUCUCUCUCUCUCUCUCUCUCUCUCUCUCUAUAUAUAUAUAUAUAUAUAUAUAUAUAUAUAUAUAUAUAUUUGAAUACUGAUGAUUGAAGGUUUCCAACGAUUUGAAGUCAAAUAGGUGGAGAUCCGAUUGAUUUUGAUUGUUUGGAAACUAGGGCUUGGUUCACUAAUUACCAGCAGUUCUAGAAGUGAAUAUGGUUCCAUUGUAGGGUUUCUAACAAGGUCCCAUUUGUAGCUUACAAAGCUUGGCAUUGGAGCUAUUCAUUGUGCGAUACUACAUUUUAGCUGUUAAAUCUUCUCUGGGACAGAAGAAAAACAAAAAGACUAGAAGAACAAACCUACAACUCGAUACACCCCUCUAUCUCAAUUAGAUAUGACUAUUUCAUGUGAAUGUGGGACCCAUGUGUUCAAACAUACUCAACAUGAAGAUUUCAAGGUUUCAAGUGUGGGAUCUUCUCUUCCUCCACUGGAUUCUUGAUGAUAUUAAUGUUAAAGCAAUAGGGGGGAAAGAUACAUAUAGAGUGUAAGUUUUGAAAAUUUUUGAUUCAAUAAUAAUGCUUCUUUUGACAUUUUGGGGCUAUUAACUGUUCAGUUUUAUGUAGAUUAUUAGGUAGAACAAAAGAGAUAGAUAUGCAAAAGAUGUUGAUUAUGAGUAAUGAAAGAGAGUAAUAUGUAAAAGAUUUUGGUGCUAUUAACUGUUCAAUUUUAUAUACACAUACACUGUUUAGUUAGGGACUGGACAUGACGUAAGGGGUAUUCAUAUGUUUUAUAGCAGCUUUCAACUAUAGACCCAACAAUAAACCCACAAAGAUGUAGGGUUAAAGUGGUUCAAACUCCAAACCAAACAUGCCAAAAGAAUUAGGCAGUAGUAGCAAGGAGAUAAAUGCUUGAAUAAUGUAUAUACAUCAUCCAUAAUGCAACUAAAACCAAACCAUUAAGGGUAGAAUGGUCAAAACAAGCAAAAUUCUCCCACCAGCCAAUCUUGAAUAAAAAAGCACCAUGUCAUGUAUAAACAUAAGAAAUCUAGAUGAAUGCACCAAACAUCGCCACCUGAAAAAGCCAUGCAAGGGUAAAAUGUCAUAGUAUUGGAAAAAGCUUCAGCCAAAUCAACUCCACAUCAGGAACAAUCAAAUAUAGGUAAUCUGGUCUAAGAGUCCAAAAUCAAUUAUAUAAGCCAAUAGUUGUAUUUACUCUUCUGUUGAAUUUUGCAUAACCAUAUUUAUGAAUAUUGUAUAAAUGCAGUUAAUUCCCCACAUUUACUCAUUUUUUGCAUUUACUCUUCUGUUAUGUUCUUUAAUCUUACAGCUGAAGUGGUAGCAUGUUGCAUAUGGGCUUGAUCUGUUAUCAAAGAAGUUACUAUAUAGGAAACAAAAUAGACAUACAGCCAUAGUCAUAAGUAUACUUUUGUUAUGAUCCUUAUUACUUUUAUAUUUUACAUUGUUGUACACGUUUCAAAUCUUUAAUAUGUUUUUUUGUUUUCCGUUGUUUCAUCAAACUAUUUGGCCUUGGGUUACUACAUGUAUCUUGAAUCCUCAUAGUCAGGAGUCAAAUUCAUUCUAAUAUUUACGUA
Molecule: non-coding RNA, 1926 nt
Organism: Lactuca sativa (garden lettuce)
Lineage: Eukaryota; Viridiplantae; Streptophyta; Magnoliopsida; Asterales; Asteraceae
Source: RefSeq, a predicted model, not a curated record